RNAcentral lists this ribosomal RNA (337 nucleotides) under uncultured bacterium. RNAcentral's name for it is "bacterial SSU rRNA". It matches the Rfam family "Bacterial small subunit ribosomal RNA", at positions 1 to 334 of the family's 1533-position model. The record is from RNAcentral.
CGCGAGUAUUCAGAGUUUGAUCCUGGCUCAGGACGAACGCUGCGGCGUGCCUAACACAUGCAAGUCAACGGGGUCAAUUCCUUCGGGGAUUGACUUAGUGGCGAACGGGUGAGUAACGCGUGAGAAACCUACCUUUCAGUGGGGGACAACAGUUGGAAACGACUGCUAAUACCGCGUGAUGUAUUCGGAGGGCAUCCUCUGAAUACCAAAGCUUUAUGUGCUGGAAGAUGGUCUCGCGUCUGAUUAGCUAGUUGGCGGGGUAACGGCCCACCAAGGCGACGAUCAGUAGCCGGUCUGAGAGGAUGAACGGCCACAUUGGGACUGAGAUACGGCCCAG